RNAcentral lists this transfer-messenger RNA (396 nucleotides) under human gut metagenome. It matches the Rfam family "transfer-messenger RNA". From Rfam's summary of the family: Bacterial tmRNA, also known as 10Sa RNA or SsrA, is named for its dual tRNA and mRNA-like properties. Its role is to liberate the mRNA from a stalled ribosome. The record is from RNAcentral.
GGGGUAGACUGGAUUUGACAGCGAGUAGAAAAGGUACGUAAGCAUGCAGUGCGUGGUUGGUUGGCACUAUAAUCCCGGCUAACAAAAAUUUAUCUGGCGAAAAUAACUACGCUCUCGCUGCGUAAUCGAAGUAUAGUAGAUUACCUUUAUUCCUGCACUAGGUGCGGGAACGAGACAUCACUCAAAAGCUGUGGUUCCGAAGCAUUUUGAUACAGUGGUGCAGCUAAAUCGGAAAUAGUUGGAUGCAGCCUCGUGCAUACAAUGAAAAUUUAGAGGAUAAGACAUAGGUUGGUGGCUCUGGUCUUGCCUAUGUUCGAAAAUUCAAGGCAGAGAUAAGCAUGUAGAAAGCGUAUGGUUUCCUUGUUUGGACGAGGGUUCGAACCCCUCCUACUCCAC